RNAcentral lists this ribosomal RNA (393 nucleotides) under uncultured bacterium. RNAcentral's name for it is "partial 16S ribosomal RNA". It matches the Rfam family "Bacterial small subunit ribosomal RNA", at positions 523 to 918 of the family's 1533-position model. The record is from RNAcentral.
AUACGGAGGAUCCGAGCGUUAUCCGGAUUUAUUGGGUUUAAAGGGUGCGCAGGCGGGAGAUUAAGUCGGCGGUGAAAUUUUGCAGCUCAACUGUAAAAGUGCCUUCGAAAAUGGGUUUCUUGGGUGGAGAUGAAAUAGGCGGAAUUUGGGGUGUCACGGUGAAAUGCAUAGAUAUCACGAGGAACUCCGAUUGCGCAGGCAGCUUACUAAACUACUACUGACGCUCAGGCACGAAGGCGUGGGGAUCAAACAGGAUUAGAUACCCUGGUAGUCCACGCAGUAAACGAUGAUUACUAGCUGUUUGCGAUACAAUGUAAGCGGCUGAGCGAAAGCGUUAAGUAAUCCACCUGGGGAGUACGUUCGCAAGAAUGAAACUCAAAUGAAUUGACGGGG